UAUAUAUUUGCUAUAUAUUUUUUCUCUUUUGAAUUUGUAACAUACAAUUUUUGCUUUUGAUUCCUAACAUUUUGAUUGCGGAUUUAUUUUUUUUGUGUAAAACUUUUGGCACAAAAUUCACUCCAUACUAGAAGAGACAACUGCAGGUUGUGCAGAGGGAGACGUUCUGGUUGUAUCUGAAGUGUUUGGGUUCUACCGUCGUCACUCUGGACGUAUUUAGUCAUUUCUGACACCAUCUCAGCUGCAUUCUAAAUAAGGAUGUUUCUUGCCUUCCACUCUGAAUGCUGGGAUGGGCUAAAGCACCCCCUGCAACCCAGAAUGAUUUUUGAUGGGUCAGAAGAUGAGUGAACAUGCUGGAACCUUACUGGAAGGACAGACACCUCUUAAAGAUGAUGCAGUGACCACUGAUUUAAUGAUUGCUAACAAGAUCCUUGAGUGGAACUAUCAUGUCUUCAAAGACUGGAUUCUUGGAAUUUGUGUCCAUCACAUGAUACCUUUGAAGAUGGCUGACAUUCAUGAUGAACUGUAUUUAGUAAUGGCUAUGGUUGAGUGAAUUGAGAUUUGAAAUAUGUGCAGUGCAUAUAUGCAUUCUACAGAUGAAUGAGGUAGAAAUUGGUCCUGUUUGUCCUGUUCCUGUUAUUUUGGAUGCACAUUUAUAAAAGUUUACAAAUGGGGUGUAGGGGUGUAAAUAAAUAUUGAUCUUUAAUGUGGUUUGCAAUUGUGAUUUUACUGUGUCAAUUUUGUAAAAAAGUAUCAUUUAAUUUAAAAAUUAUAUUAUCUAUUUUAUAUAUAUAUAAUAUUGCAUUGUGAUCAGGUUUCUAGAUAGCUGUACAUUUGUCUUUGGAUCCCACUGUUCUGAUUUGUUAAAAUUUGACCGAAUGUUUAUACAAUGAUGGCAUUAUUAUAAUUAAUUUGGAGUCUAUUGUAAAACAACCCCCAUAUUGUAAUCUGUAUCAUAUCACCGCCAUAGUAACCCUUUUCUUUUGUCAGUUGUCAUGAUUUGUUUCAACUGUAAAAUAUGUGAAAAAUAAAGAUUGAAAAUAUA
Astyanax mexicanus (Mexican tetra) is the source of this 1045-nucleotide long non-coding RNA. RefSeq lists it as uncharacterized. The record is from RefSeq and is a predicted model, not a curated record. The transcript has 5 exons. Lineage: Eukaryota; Metazoa; Chordata; Actinopteri; Characiformes; Acestrorhamphidae.